RNAcentral lists this ribosomal RNA (483 nucleotides) under uncultured Anaeroplasma sp. Its description in RNAcentral is "bacterial SSU rRNA". It matches the Rfam family "Bacterial small subunit ribosomal RNA", at positions 8 to 507 of the family's 1533-position model. Lineage: Bacteria; Bacillati; Mycoplasmatota; Mollicutes; Anaeroplasmatales; Anaeroplasmataceae. The record is from RNAcentral.
AGAGUUUGAUCCUGGCUCAGGAUUAACGCUGGCGGCGUGCCUAAUACAUGCAAGUCGAACGGAAGUACCUUCGGGUACUUUAGUGGCGAACGGGUGAGUAAUACAUAGGUAACCUACCCUUAAGACGAGGAUAGCCAUUGGAAACGAUGGAUAAAACUGGAUAGGAUAUAGAGGAAGAAUCUUUUAUAUUUAAAAGAGAGAUCUGCUUAAGGAGGGGCCUGUGGCGCAUUAGCUAGUUGGUGGGGUAAGGGCCUACCAAGGCGAUGAUGCGUAGCCGGACUGAGAGGUUGAACGGCCACAAUGGAACUGAGAACGGUCCAUACUCCUACGGGAGGCAGCAGUAGGGAAUUUUCGGCAAUGGGGGGAACCCUGACCGAGCAACGCCGCGCGAACGAAGAAGUUAUUCGUAAUGUAAAGUUCUUUUAUCAGGGAAGAAAGAGGAAUUUGACGGUACCUGAGGAAUAAGCUCCGGCUAACUACGUG